This 319-nucleotide ribosomal RNA is filed under the name uncultured bacterium. RNAcentral describes it as "bacterial SSU rRNA". It matches the Rfam family "Bacterial small subunit ribosomal RNA", at positions 43 to 389 of the family's 1533-position model. The record is from RNAcentral.
UCAGGCCUAACACAUGCAAGUCGAGCGAGGCAGCAAUGCCUAGCGGCGGACGGGUGAGUAACGCGUGGGAACGUGCCCUUUGGUUCGGAAUAGCCCUGGGAAACUGGGAGUAAUACCGGAUACGGUCGAGAGACGAAAGAUUUAUCGCCGAAGGAUCGGCCCGCGUUGGAUUAGGUAGUUGGUGGGGUAAUGGCCUACCAAGCCGACGAUCCAUAGCUGGUUUGAGAGGAUGAUCAGCCACACUGGGACUGAGACACGGCCCAGACUCCUACGGGAGGCAGCAGUGGGGAACCUUAAAGGAUGGGCGCAAGCCUGAUCU